GCAGCUGAGGGGAGAGAGCGUGGAGGGCUGCUGCUUUAUUUAACCUUCAUGACAACUCCCUUUUACCUUUGGAGGUCCAGUUAAAGAAAGCGUCUGCUCAUGGAAAGAAUGUUCCCAGGGCGGCCUCAUUUAUUCCUCCCAAAGCCGGAGGGAAGCCAGGACAGACCUUGGUCCCACGGAGAGCUCUCGGAAGCUGAGGCCCUCCUCCAGAAGCGCAUCCUUGGCUCCAGUUACUCAGGGGAAAAAACCUUCAAUAAAGUGGAUCACCUCAGGGGUGAGACCAAGCUCCUUUGAGGAUGUUAUCAAAGAAAUGGAGGCUGGUUUCUGUCAUGCAGACCCCAUCAUCCUUGUUCCUGGUCUUCAUAUUUCUGCCAGAAAAGGCCUGCAUCUCCCCGACAAUGAAGAGAUCAUUUACUCCUAGUCCAUGACCCAUACACCCAGAUGUCUCUAAAGACCAACACCAGCCCUCAGCCCAGCGCCUAGAGUGCCUGGCACAUAGGAAGUUCAGAAUAAACACCACAGGUGAAUGAAUGAAUGAGUGAGUAACAGAUGUGUGGUGGACGCUGGCUGGAUAGAUGAACGAGUAUUGCUACGACUGGCCUUUCU
Long non-coding RNA from Bubalus bubalis (water buffalo), 606 nucleotides. RefSeq lists it as uncharacterized. The record is from RefSeq and is a predicted model, not a curated record. Lineage: Eukaryota; Metazoa; Chordata; Mammalia; Artiodactyla; Bovidae. The transcript has 3 exons.